UACGUAGGGCGCAAGCGUUAUCCGGAAUUAUUGGGCGUAAAGAGCUCGUAGGCGGUUUGUCGCGUCUGCUGUGAAAUCUGGAGGCUCAACCUCCAGCCUGCAGUGGGUACGGGCAGACUAGAGUUCGGUAGGGGAGACUGGAAUUCCUGGUGUAGCGGUGAAAUGCGCAGAUAUCAGGAGGAACACCGGUGGCGAAGGCGGGUCUCUGGGCCGAAACUGGACG
This 223-nucleotide ribosomal RNA is filed under the name uncultured bacterium. Its description in RNAcentral is "partial 16S ribosomal RNA". It matches the Rfam family "Bacterial small subunit ribosomal RNA", at positions 524 to 745 of the family's 1533-position model. The record is from RNAcentral.